AACGAACGCUGGCGGCGCGCCUAACACAUGCAAGUCGAACGAGCGAGCGAGAGCUUGCUUUCUCGAGCGAGUGGCGAACGGGUGAGUAACGCGUGAGGAACCUGCCUCAAAGAGGGGGACAACAGUUGGAAACGACUGCUAAUACCGCAUAAGCCCACGCCUCGGCAUCGGGCAGGGGGAAAAGGAGCCAUCCGCUUUGAAAUGGCCCCGCGUCCGAUUACCUAGUUGGUGGGGUAACGGCCCACCAAGGAGACGAUCGGCAGCCGGACGGAGAGGUUGAACGGCCACAUUGGGACUGAGACACGGCCCAGACUCCGACGGGAGGCAGCAGUGGGGAAUAUUGCACAAUGGGGGAAACCCUGAUGCAGCGACGCCGCGUGGAGGAAGAAGGUCUUCGGAUUGUAAACUCCUGUUGUUGGGGAAGAUAAUGACGGUACCCAACAAGGAAGUGACGGCUAACUACGUG
Molecule: ribosomal RNA, 466 nt
Filed under: uncultured bacterium
Lineage: Bacteria
Description: partial 16S ribosomal RNA
Rfam family: Bacterial small subunit ribosomal RNA
Source: RNAcentral